GUGGGGAAUCUUGUGCAAUGGGCGAAAGCCUGACGCAGCCAUGCCGCGUGAAUGAUGAAGGUCUUAGGAUUGUAAAAUUCUUUCACCGGGGACGAUAAUGACGGUACCCGGAGAAGAAGCCCCGGCUAACUUCGUGCCAGCAGCCGCGGUAAUACGAAGGGUGCUAGCGUUGCUCGGAAUUACUGGGCGUAAAGGGCGCGUAGGCGGACAGUUUAGUCAGAGGUGAAAGCCCAGGGCUCAACCUUGGAAUUGCCUUUGAUACUGGCUGUCUUGAGUACGGGAGAGGUGAGUGGAACUCCGAGUGUAGAGGUGAAAUUCGUAGAUAUUCGGAAGAACACCAGUGGCGAAGGCGACUCACUGGCCCGUUACUGACGCUGAGGCGCGAAAGCGUGGGGAGCAAACAGGAUUAGAUACCCUUGUAGUCC
RNAcentral lists this ribosomal RNA (425 nucleotides) under uncultured bacterium. RNAcentral describes it as "partial 16S ribosomal RNA". It matches the Rfam family "Bacterial small subunit ribosomal RNA", at positions 354 to 796 of the family's 1533-position model. The record is from RNAcentral.